UAACAGUAAAGAUACAAGAAUAAUAAAGAAACCUGGGAAACCUUUCUACCCUGAGUACUCUACAGUGACAAUCAAUUCUCUUGUGGGAUUUGAAACCCUCAAGAGAGGCAGCAGUCUACAUUGGUAAUGAGAGAAGGAGAAAAAAGGAUUUUGAGUCGCGAGGAGAGUAGAAUGUAUACAGUAGGGGGGCGGUAUGUCAGAGAAGCUUAAGUCUGAGGGUCUGCAUUCUAGAACCAUUGCUGGGUCAGCUUGUGGAGCUGCUUUCACAUCUUGAGAGGGUUGAACAAUAUCUACCCAGAAGACUAGAAAAUAUAUAUGAAUAACAGUGUUUCCUUCAAGACGCUUAACAAUACGUAUCGGUCAAAAGCAUCUAUUUGAUGAUCAUGUUUGUUCCUUCAUUGACUGAGCCAAAUGAAGGGCCUCGAGCAGAACACCAGACCCAGCAUCUCUAAGGACGGCAUGGUGGUUCCAAAGAGCACAGCCCCGGAGCUCCCAGCUGAAGCUCAGCGUUGGCAAUGCAGACAGAGCUGGGAGAAACCCAGCCACCAUCAUCACCACCACCACCACCACCACCGCCGCCGCCGCAGGCAGGCCAUUGCCCCAGGCAGCAAUAAAGGCUCCCCGAGGCCUUUUGUCAAUUGCCCCCUGAACAGAAAAUAAACAUCUCCACGGCUGCCAUUCAGUGGACAUCCUGUUUACAUGGUGAGCGGGGAUCUUGGUUGCUUUCCCUUUUUUCUUUUUAAAGGCUGUAAUUAUGUUUACCCAAGUCCAGCAGUAGGUGCCAGGAGGGCUGUGAGUUGAUUUCCCUGGCUAACACUGCAGACGGCUGGCGGCAGCCCCACUGACCCCUGCAUCCCGGGCAGAGAGCCAGCCCUACACGCACACCGACACUCUCCCUACAAAGACAGCCAUUCUGGCCUAGCUGUUUUCUUUCCAUGCACACUGGGAUACUCUGGAUAAUGGUCUAGCAAAUGCCAAACUACGUCGGCGCCAUGAACUUACUGGGUAGCUGAAUUAUGAAGGAAAGAGAAAGGUAAAAAGCUCUGUGGAAGGCUGCCUGUGUACCAGGCAGUGUACUGUAUGCAUUUCAUAGACAUUGUUUCAGAUAACCCUGUACAAUCCAGAGUUAUGUAUCAUUAUCCGACUUU
Molecule: long non-coding RNA, 1148 nt
Organism: Panthera uncia (snow leopard)
Lineage: Eukaryota; Metazoa; Chordata; Mammalia; Carnivora; Felidae
Exons: 3
Source: RefSeq, a predicted model, not a curated record